This 211-nucleotide ribosomal RNA is filed under the name uncultured bacterium. RNAcentral's name for it is "partial 16S ribosomal RNA". It matches the Rfam family "Bacterial small subunit ribosomal RNA", at positions 568 to 774 of the family's 1533-position model. The record is from RNAcentral.
CUUGUAGGCGGUCUGUCGCGUCUGCUGUGAAAAUCCGGGGGCUCAACCCCGGACUUGCAGUGGGGUACGGGCAGACUAGAGUAUGGUAGGGGAGACUGGAAUUCCUGGUGUAGCGGUGAAAUGCGCAGAUAUCAGGAGGAACACCGAUGGCGAAGGCAGGUCUCUGGGCCAUUACUGACGCUGAGAAGACGAAAGCGGUGGGGAGCGAACA